ACUCAAAUGAAUUGACGGGGGCCCGCACAAGCAGCGGAGCAUGUGGCUUAAUUCGACGCAACGCGAAGAACCUUACCAAGGCUUGACAUACACCGGAAACGUCUGGAGACAGGCGCCCCCUUGUGGUCGGUGUACAGGUGGUGCAUGGCUGUCGUCAGCUCGUGUCGUGAGAUGUUGGGUUAAGUCCCGCAACGAGCGCAACCCUUGUUCUGUGUUGCCAGCAUGCCCUUCGGGGUGAUGGGGACUCACAGGAGACUGCCGGGGUCAACUCGGAGGAAGGUGGGGACGACGUCAAGUCAUCAUGCCCCUUAUGUCUUGGGCUGCACACGUGCUACAAUGGCCGGUACAAUGAGCUGCGAUACCGCGAGGUGGAGCGAAUCUCAAAAAGCCGGUCUCAGUUCGGAUUGGGGUCUGCAACUCGACCCCAUGAAGUCGGAGUUGCUAGUAAUCGCAGAUCAGCAUUGCUGCGGUGAAUACGUUCCCGGGCCUUGUACACACCGCCCGU
This 505-nucleotide ribosomal RNA is filed under the name uncultured bacterium. Its description in RNAcentral is "partial 16S ribosomal RNA". It matches the Rfam family "Bacterial small subunit ribosomal RNA", at positions 899 to 1397 of the family's 1533-position model. The record is from RNAcentral.